GAACUGAAGAGUUUGAUCAUGGCUCAGAUUGAACGCUGGCGGCAGGCCUAACACAUGCAAGUCGAGCGGUAGAGAGGUGCUUGCACCUCUUGAGAGCGGCGGACGGGUGAGUAAUGCCUAGGAAUCUGCCUGGUAGUGGGGGAUAACGCUCGGAAACGGGCGCUAAUACCGCAUACGUCCUACGGGAGAAAGCAGGGGACCUUCGGGCCUUGCGCUAUCAGAUGAGCCUAGGUCGGAUUAGCUAGUUGGUGAGGUAAUGGCUCACCAAGGCGACGAUCCGUAACUGGUCUGAGAGGAUGAUCAGUCACACUGGAACUGAGACACGGUCCAGACUCCUACGGGAGGCAGCAGUGGGGAAUA
RNAcentral lists this ribosomal RNA (360 nucleotides) under Mesorhizobium sp. RNAcentral describes it as "bacterial SSU rRNA". It matches the Rfam family "Bacterial small subunit ribosomal RNA", at positions 1 to 363 of the family's 1533-position model. Lineage: Bacteria; Pseudomonadati; Pseudomonadota; Alphaproteobacteria; Hyphomicrobiales; Phyllobacteriaceae. The record is from RNAcentral.